CCCUUAGAUGUUCUGGGCCGCACGCGCGCUACACUGACGAUGGCAACGAGUUUUUCCUUCGCCGAAAGGUGUGGGUAAUCUUUUGAAACAUCGUCGUGCUGGGGGUAGAUCAUUGCAAUUUUUGAUCUUGAACGAGGAAUUCCUAGUAAGCGCGAGUCAUCAGCUCGCGUUGAUUACGUCCCUGCCCUUUGUACACACCGCCCGUCGCUACUACCGAUUGAAUGGUUUAGUGAGGACUCCUGAUUGGCGCCGCCGCCCCGGCAACGGAGCAGCGGACUGCCGAAAAGUUGUUCAAACUUGAUCAUUUAGAGGAAGUAAAAGUCGUAACA
This 329-nucleotide ribosomal RNA is filed under the name uncultured eukaryote. RNAcentral describes it as "partial 18S ribosomal RNA". It matches the Rfam family "Eukaryotic small subunit ribosomal RNA", at positions 1470 to 1796 of the family's 1831-position model. The record is from RNAcentral.